Anastrepha obliqua is the source of this 2393-nucleotide long non-coding RNA. RefSeq lists it as uncharacterized. NCBI's taxonomy places the organism in Eukaryota, Metazoa, Arthropoda, Insecta, Diptera, Tephritidae. The record is from RefSeq and is a predicted model, not a curated record. The transcript is spliced from 3 exons.
GAAGGUACCAUCUUUAUUCAGUAUACAAAGUGGCCGCUAUGGCAAAACGAAGCUUCCGGCAACACAAUACUGUUGCCGAUUCAAAUGAAUUAUUAUUCUCGCUUAAAAUUGGAAAGUGAAGAUACUCAUAUAUGCUUCUUCUUCUUAAUUGGCGCGAUAACCGCUUACGCGAUUUUUGCCGAGUUUAACAAAGCGCGCCAGUCGUUUCUUCUCGUGCUAACCGGCGCCAGUUGGACACACUAAGUGAACCCUUCUCCUUCUCCACUUGAUCUUUCCAACGCAGACGAGGCCUUCCUCUUCCUCUGCUACCACCAGCUGGUACCGUAUCGAAUACUUACAGAGCCGGAGCGUUUGUAUCCAUUCGGACAACAUGACCCAGCCAACGUAGCCGCUGGAUCUUUAUUCGCUGCGCUAUGUCUAUGUCGUCGUAAAGCUCAUACAGCUCAUCGUUCCAUCGCCUGCGAUAUUCCCCGCUGCCAACAUGCAAAGGACCAAAAAUCUUGCGCAGAAUCUUUCUCUCAAACACUCCCAACGUCGCUUCAUCGGAUGUUGUCAUCGUCCAAGCUUCUGUGCCGUAUGACGAGGAAUGGACAAACCUGUGUUUUCUUCAACACUUUCGUCUACAACGGCAAUAUUUUUGGCUGUUCUUGAGCGACGUGCAUGGGUUUUAUUCUUCACAUCACUAACUUGUCCCGACAACUCGAAUUUGUUCACCAAUUUCUGUAUUGCGGUCUGACAAGGUGGUUCACGAUGACCCAAAAAUGUUCGAGUUUUACGAACCGUCUUUGGCGAAUUUUCACCAUUUUUAUAGUGAAUUUCAAUAUUUUCAAUGCAUUGUUUAAGCGUGUAUCGUUUAAAUUUUAUUAAUGGCAUAGUUUCUACUUGUCAAAUAUAAAAAAAAUAAUAGCUUCAAAAGUGACAUCUACCGAAAUAGCGGACUAUUCAAAAUAACACCUGUUAUUGGAAAACCCUUUAAAUAUAAAUACCAAACAGAUACGUGGCUAUCAGAAGAACACAUAUAUAUGUAUAUGUAUAAAUUAGUUUACAUAUAGGGUUAUAUGAAAAAAGCUGUUUGCUAAGUACAAAUUAAAAGUGGGUUUGUUCACAAAUACAUAUGUACUUGUAUGUAAUUAUAAACCUAUUUUAAAUUAAGAGCUAUUUGGAUAUAUGUAGAAUAACCAUAUUGUUGCAGUUAAGAUCUAUCAGCGCUGGACAUGUGCUUAUUUCGUUUGUGCAUGCAUAAGAUAAAAAUAUUGCAUACUCGUAAUAGCUUUUUAAAAUACUCCCGCAUAAACUUUAUUGAUUUUGUUGAGCAUCGCUUAUAACUGGAAGUGCAUUUAACAAAUGUUUUUAAAAAAUGUAAGAAGUAAUGAAAAAUAUAAACAAAUAAAAAUUCGCCUUUGCACAAAUUUUUGAGAGAAGUGCCGAAUUCGCCCAAGGCAAUUAAUCAACUAUUCCACUGAUAUUAUAUCACCUUCUAUAGAUACGCCUUCAAAGUAAGCGUGCAUUGGGCCAGCCCCUGGAUAAUAUAGUCAAGGUCAAGGAUGAUAGAGUACAUGCUUACCGAAUUAGUUGCGUCGUAAGAGCCAAUGAUUAACCAAACAAAAGGAAGGGGAAUUACUUGUUUGUGAAGAUGAAGAGUAGGUGAAAGCAAUGAAACAACCAAACACAAGAAAUUAUACGCAACACACACACUUUCUUGCCACGGCGUAUUCCGCAACUUUAUAUUAAUUAGGUUAGGACAAAUUAUUGUGGCUGUAUCAUUGCUAGACUGUGGUGAAUCAUAUAACCACUGUUCUAUCAGCACUCGCUGAUGAUCGAAAAGAUGUACAAACAUUUAUUAACGCAGACCCAAAAGAAUUGGCAAUAAUUUUAAGUGGCGGUGAUUUAUAUACUGCUGCAUUGGAGCUAAUUACCGGCUUCGAAUUAUCACUCCUUCGAAUAUGGGGAAGCCGCAUUACCGAGGAAGGCGUCAAUGAAGCAUGGGCGUGGUUCAAGAAAUUGACUUGGCUGAUUUGCCUCAUCGCAAUAAAUCCGAUAUGGCCUGAUCACUGCUACAAACACUGAUUUAUGACUUUGAGGUAAAAAUUGUACUAGCACACGUAAAUAUGUAGCAAACACGCUGCUAUGUCUCAACGCUUUUAUUCCGCAAUGGGAAUCACCACACGCAAUUUUGGGAGGUGCAACCGAAUAUUUCAAUUUUAAACAUGCGCGAUUGCGGUUAUAAGCCAGGACGUCAUACAGACCUAUAUCGAUACGGCAUAGCGCACAGCAGAGGAUAAGAUUCAAAUGGAUUAAAUAAAAUUAUAUAUAUUUUUUUCAAUUGUAUGCACUUUGGUAAAGUUUUAGAUCUUAUGUUAUAAAUAUGGAUUUUAACAAUCAAGUUUUUCUUA